RNAcentral lists this ribosomal RNA (274 nucleotides) under uncultured bacterium. RNAcentral's name for it is "partial 16S ribosomal RNA". It matches the Rfam family "Bacterial small subunit ribosomal RNA", at positions 523 to 796 of the family's 1533-position model. The record is from RNAcentral.
AUACGGAGGGGGCAAGCGUUGCUCGGAAUUACUGGGCGUAAAGCGCGCGUAGGCGGCUACGUCAGUCGGAUGUGAAAGCCCCGGGCUUAACCUGGGAACUGCAUUCGAUACUGACAGGCUAGAGUAUAGUAGAGGCAAGUGGAAUUCCGGGUGUAGCGGUGAAAUGCGUAGAUAUCCGGAGGAACAUCAGUGGCGAAGGCGACUUGCUGGACUAAUACUGACGCUAAGGAGCGAAAGCGUGGGGAGCAAACGGGAUUAGAUACCCCAGUAGUCC